CACCGGCGGCCCGAGUGGUGACCACUUUUAUUGGGCCUAAAGCGUCCGUAGCCGGCUUGGCAAGUCCCCUGGGAAAUCUGGCGGCUUAACCGUCAGGCGUCCAGAGGAUACUGCCAGGCUUGGGACCGGGAGAGGUGAGAGGUACCUCAGGGGUAGGGGUGAAAUCUUGUGAUCCCUGAGGGACCACCAGUGGCGAAGGCGUCUCACUAGAACGGGUCCGACGGUCAGGGACGAAAGCUGGGGGCACGAACCGG
RNAcentral lists this ribosomal RNA (254 nucleotides) under uncultured microorganism. RNAcentral describes it as "partial 16S ribosomal RNA". It matches the Rfam family "Archaeal small subunit ribosomal RNA", at positions 474 to 727 of the family's 1478-position model. The record is from RNAcentral.